Molecule: long non-coding RNA, 241 nt
Organism: Dermochelys coriacea (leatherback sea turtle)
Lineage: Eukaryota; Metazoa; Chordata; Testudines; Dermochelyidae
Exons: 2
Source: RefSeq, a predicted model, not a curated record
CUUACCAGAUACCAAAAAUAACCUCAGAAUGCCAUCUGAGCAAUACUUGACCAAUGAGGGACAAGAUACUUUCAAAGAUGGAGGGAGGGAGAAACAAAGGUUCUCUCGUUCUGUGUGGCGUUUGCCGGGACCAGAGAAGGAAUGCAGAUCAGAACGCCUGUAAAGGGCUAAUAAGCAAUCUAGUUAGAUAUGCGUUAGAUUCUGUUUUGUUUAAAUGGUGGAUAAAAUAAGUUGUGCUGAA